RNAcentral lists this ribosomal RNA (497 nucleotides) under uncultured bacterium. RNAcentral describes it as "partial 16S ribosomal RNA". It matches the Rfam family "Bacterial small subunit ribosomal RNA", at positions 28 to 507 of the family's 1533-position model. The record is from RNAcentral.
GAUGAACGCUGGCGGCGUGCCUAAUACAUGCCAGUCGAGCGAACGGACGAGAAGCUUGCUUUUCUGAUGUUAGCGGCGGACGGGUGAGUAACACGUGGAUAACCUACCUAUAAGACUGGGAUAACUUCGGGAAACCGGAGCUAAUACCGGAUAAUAUUUUGAACCGCAUGGUUCAAAAGUGAAAGACGGUCUUGCUGUCACUUAUAGAUGGAUCCGCGCUGCAUUAGCUAGUUGGUAAGGUAACGGCUUACCAAGGCAACGAUGCAUAGCCGACCUGAGAGGGUGAUCGGCCACACUGGAACUGAGACACGGUCCAGACUCCUACGGGAGGCAGCAGUAGGGAAUCUUCCGCAAUGGGCGAAAGCCUGACGGAGCAACGCCGCGCGAGUGAUGAAGGUCUUCGGAUCGUAAAACUCUGUUAUUAGGGAAGAACAUAUGUGUAAGUAACUGUGCACAUCUUGACGGUACCUAAUCAGAAAGCCACGGCUAACUACGUG